RNAcentral lists this ribosomal RNA (449 nucleotides) under uncultured Pseudomonas sp. RNAcentral describes it as "bacterial SSU rRNA". It matches the Rfam family "Bacterial small subunit ribosomal RNA", at positions 936 to 1382 of the family's 1533-position model. Lineage: Bacteria; Pseudomonadati; Pseudomonadota; Gammaproteobacteria; Pseudomonadales; Pseudomonadaceae. The record is from RNAcentral.
AGCGAUGUGGUUUAAUUCGAAGCAACGCGAAGAACCUUACCAGGCCUUGACAUGCAGAGAACUUUCCAGAGAUGGAUUGGUGCCUUCGGGAACUCUGACACAGGUGCUGCAUGGCUGUCGUCAGCUCGUGUCGUGAGAUGUUGGGUUAAGUCCCGUAACGAGCGCAACCCUUGUCCUUAGUUACCAGCACGUUAUGGUGGGCACUCUAAGGAGACUGCCGGUGACAAACCGGAGGAAGGUGGGGGAUGACGUCAAGUCAUCAUGGCCCUUACGGCCUGGGCUACACACGUGCUACAAUGGUCGGUACAAAGGGUUGCCAAGCCGCGAGGUGGAGCUAAUCCCAUAAAACCGAUCGUAGUCCGGAUCGCAGUCUGCAACUCGACUGCGUGAAGUCGGAAUCGCUAGUAAUCGUGAAUCAGAAUGUCACGGUGAAUACGUUCCCGGGCCUU